AGCCGGCGUAGAAGAUCAUAAUAGCCUCUCGGUAGCCAAUAGCCUUGGCGACAGGGUCCACCAGGAUGGGAAGGUUCCCCCCCACGUUGUUCAUGACGAACAGGAACACGCCCACGGUGGUGGAGCGGACGGAGAGCGGCACGAUCUCGACGAGGAUCGCGAAGACGAUCCCGAACCACAUCUCAGC
Cydia fagiglandana is the source of this 187-nucleotide long non-coding RNA. RefSeq lists it as uncharacterized. The record is from RefSeq and is a predicted model, not a curated record. The transcript has 2 exons. Lineage: Eukaryota; Metazoa; Arthropoda; Insecta; Lepidoptera; Tortricidae.